AGAGUUUGAUCCUGGCUCAGAAUGAACGUUGGCGGCGUGGAUUAGGCAUGCAAGUCGCGCGAAAAGUUUCCUGCUUGCAGGAAGCGGACAGCGGCGAAAGGGAGAGUAACGCGUGGGUACCUGCCCUCUGGACCGGAAUAGCUGUGGGAAACUACAGGUAAUGCCGGAUAAAGUCUCCGGACCAAAUGGUGUUAGCCGCCGGAGGAUGGGCCCGCGUCCUAUUAGCUUGUUGGUGAGGUAACGGCUCACCAAGGCUACAAUGGGUACCGGGCGUGAGAGCGUGGCCCGGCUCACUGGGACUGAGACACUGCCCAGACACCUACGGGUGGCUGCAGUCGAGAAUCUUCGGCAAUGGGCGAAAGCCUGACCGAGCGACGCCGCGUGCGGGAUGAAGGCCUUCGGGUUGUAAACCGCUGUCAGAGGGGAGGAAAUGCUAGGUAAUCCCUAGUUUGACCUAUCCUCAGAGGAAGUCCGGGCUAAGUUCGUGCCAGCAGCCGCGGUAAGACGAACCGGACAAACGUUAUUCGGAAUUAUUGGGCUUAAAGGGUGCGUAGGCGGCGUGGCAAGUUGGAUGUGAAAUCCCUCGGCUCAACCGAGGAACUGCGUCCAAAACUGCCAUGCUCGAGGGAGACAGAGGUGAGCGGAACUUGCGGUGGAGCGGUGAAAUGCGUUGAUAUCGCAAGGAACACCCGUGGCGAAGGCGGCUCACUGGGUCUCUUCUGACGCUGAGGCACGAAAGCUAGGGGAGCGAACGGGAUUAGAUACCCCGGUAGUCCUAGCUGUAAACGAUGAGCACUUGGUCGGAGGAUUUUCACUGAUUUUCCGGCCGGAGCGAAAGCGUUAAGUGCUCCGCCUGGGGAGUAUGGUCGCAAGGCUGAAGCUCAAAGGAAUUGACGGGGGCUCACACAAGCGGUGGAGGAUGUGGCUUAAUUCGAGGCUACGCGAAGAACCUUAUCCUGGUCUUGACAUGUACGUAUACUGCUAUGGAAACAUAGUUCGUUGCUUUCGGGUGAAACGUACACAGGUGCUGCAUGGCUGUCGUCAGCUCGUGUCGUGAGAUGUCGGGUUAAGUCCCUUAACGAGCGAAACCCUUAUCCUUAGUUGCCAGCGAGUCAUGUCGGGGACUCUAGGGAGACUGCCGGUGUUAAACCGGAGGAAGGUGGGGAUGACGUCAAGUCCUCAUGGCCUUUAUGACCAGGGCUGCACACGUCCUACAAUGGCGCGCACAAAGGGACGCGAACUCGCGAGAGUAAGCAAAUCCCAAAAAACGCGCCUCAGUUCGGAUUGCAGGCUGAAAUUCGCCUGCAUGAAGCCGGAAUCGCUAGUAAUCGCGGGUCAGCAUACCGCGGUGAAUAUGUUCCUGAGCCUUGUACACACCGCCCGUCAAGCCACGAAAGUGGGGGGCGUCCGAAGUCGCCGCAGCAACCCGCAAGGGAGCUAAGCGCCGAAGAUGAACUCCGCGAUUGGGACUAAGUCGUAACAAGGUAACCA
This 1491-nucleotide ribosomal RNA is filed under the name uncultured bacterium. Its description in RNAcentral is "bacterial SSU rRNA". It matches the Rfam family "Bacterial small subunit ribosomal RNA". The record is from RNAcentral.